AUUCUUUCUGAGUCAGAGAGAUGCCAUGAUCAAGAAGGGUUUUUCCACGGUGAAUCUCCUCCAUUGCAUUCUAGCUUUGCUUACCCCUGUGAUUUUUCUCAGAUGCAGGAAAUACAACUGCAUAACUUGUGGUAGUGGGAGACAAUGCUCACAAUUUCUCAUA
Cricetulus griseus (Chinese hamster) is the source of this 163-nucleotide small nuclear RNA. Its record names the gene U1. It matches the Rfam family "U1 spliceosomal RNA". Rfam says of the family: U1 is a small nuclear RNA (snRNA) component of the spliceosome (involved in pre-mRNA splicing). Its 5' end forms complementary base pairs with the 5' splice junction, thus defining the 5' donor site of an intron. NCBI's taxonomy places the organism in Eukaryota, Metazoa, Chordata, Mammalia, Rodentia, Cricetidae. The record is from Ensembl.